Molecule: ribosomal RNA, 413 nt
Filed under: uncultured Actinomycetes bacterium
Lineage: Bacteria; Bacillati; Actinomycetota; Actinomycetes
Description: bacterial SSU rRNA
Rfam family: Bacterial small subunit ribosomal RNA
Source: RNAcentral
GAGUUUGAUCGUGGCUCAGGACGAACGCUGGCGGCGUGCUUAACACAUGCAAGUCGAACGAUGAAGCCCUUCGGGGUGGAUUAGUGGCGAACGGGUGAGUAACACGUGGGCAAUCUGCCCUUCACUCUGGGACAAGCCCUGGAAACGGGGUCUAAUACCGGAUAUGAGCCUCUAUCGCAUGGUGGAGGCUGUAAAGCUCCGGCGGUGAAGGAUGAGCCCGCGGCCUAUCAGCUUGUUGGUGAGGUAAUGGCUCACCAAGGCGACGACGGGUAGCCGGCCUGAGAGGGCGACCGGCCACACUGGGACUGAGACACGGCCCAGACUCCUACGGGAGGCAGCAGUGGGGAAUAUUGCACAAUGGGCGAAAGCCUGAUGCAGCGACGCCGCGUGAGGGAUGACGGCCUCGGUUGUAA